RNAcentral lists this ribosomal RNA (253 nucleotides) under uncultured bacterium. RNAcentral's name for it is "partial 16S ribosomal RNA". It matches the Rfam family "Bacterial small subunit ribosomal RNA", at positions 524 to 776 of the family's 1533-position model. The record is from RNAcentral.
GACAGAGGCCUCGAGCGUUAGGCGGAAUCACUGGGCUUAAAGCGUGUGUAGGCGGAUCGUUAAGCACCUUGUGAAAUCCCACGGCUCAACCGUGGAACGGCUGGGUAUACUGGCGGUCUUGGGCCAUUCAGGGGCGACUGGAACAAGCGGUGGAGCGGUGAAAUGCGUAGAUAUCGCUUGGAACGCCGAAGGUGAAAACAGGUCGCUGGGGAUGUGCCGACGCUGAGACACGAAAGCCAGGGGAGCAAACGGG